UUGAUCCUGGCUCAGGACGAACGCUGGCGGCGUGCCUAAGCUUAUGCAAGUCGAACGCGAACGGCUCCUUCGGGAGCCUAGUAGAGUGGCAAACGGGUGAGUAACGCGUGGGUAACGUACCCUGAUCCUGGGAAUAACCCUCGGAAACGAGGGCUAAUACCGAAUGUGGCGAACGACCGGUUGGUCGCUCGCUAAAGGUGGCCUCUUCUAUGCUGCCGGGUUGGGAUCGGCCCGCGUCCCAUUAGCUAGUUGGUGAGGUAACGGCUCACCAAGGCCACGAUGGGUAGCCGGCCUGAGAGGGUGUACGGCCACACUGGCACUGAGACAAGGGCCAGUCCCCUAUGGGAGGCGCAGGCGGGAAUAGUUCACAAUGGGCGAAAGCCUGAUGACGCGACGCCGCGUGAGCGAAGAAGACCUUCGGGUUGUAAAGCUCUGUCAGGAGGGAAGAAGGCUCUACGGGUCAAUAGCCCGUGGGAUUGACGGUACCUCCAGAGGAAGCCCCGGCUAAAUACGUGCCAGCAGCCGCGGUAAUACGUAUGGGGCAAGCGUUGUCCGGAUUUACUGGGCGUAAAGGGCGCGUAGGCGGUUUGUUAAGUCGAAGGUGAAAUCCUCGGGCUCAACUCGAGAAUUGCCUUCGAUACUGGCAAACUAGAGUGGCGGAGAGGAAAGCGGAACUCUUGGUGUACCGGUGGAAUGUGUAGAUAUCAAGAGGAACACCGGUGGCGAAAGGCCGGCUUUCUGGACGCACACUGACGCUCAGGCGCGAAAGCGUGGGUAGCAACAGGAUUAGAUACCCUGGUAGUCCAAGCCAUAAACGAUGGGUACUAGGUGUCGGGGGUAUCGACCCCUCCGGUGC
RNAcentral lists this ribosomal RNA (856 nucleotides) under uncultured organism. RNAcentral describes it as "bacterial SSU rRNA". It matches the Rfam family "Bacterial small subunit ribosomal RNA", at positions 13 to 846 of the family's 1533-position model. The record is from RNAcentral.